CAGUUCAUCGUAAAAGAUUCCUUAUGUACUUGCUUAAUCUGGUACUAGCCGGUGUGCACACCCGAUGGGUGUGCUAUUGAAAUUUGACACCCCAAAAAUCAAAUUAAGGCUUUGAAUCAGAGAUUACGAGGUUAAAAUUUAAAUUUAAUCAGUUUAAUGUGAUCAACACCAAGGAUAAUUCUCCCUUUAUAUGAUCAUUAUGAUGUUUCAGUGUAUCAAAGGAGAGAAAUAACGUUUA
RNAcentral lists this long non-coding RNA (238 nucleotides) under Actinidia chinensis (golden kiwifruit). RNAcentral describes it as "long non-coding RNA (ACHI_LNC000446)". Lineage: Eukaryota; Viridiplantae; Streptophyta; Magnoliopsida; Ericales; Actinidiaceae. The record is from RNAcentral.